Long non-coding RNA from Diachasma alloeum, 2471 nucleotides. RefSeq lists it as uncharacterized. The record is from RefSeq and is a predicted model, not a curated record. NCBI's taxonomy places the organism in Eukaryota, Metazoa, Arthropoda, Insecta, Hymenoptera, Braconidae. The transcript has 3 exons.
UCGAAAACAGACGUAUCCACGUCAAAAUUGAGCAAAACGUUUCCACCAAAAAUAUAAUUUGCAGUGAGAUGUUGAAAUUUUUAUGCUGAAACUCUGGGCCGUGUGCUGGGUAUAUAUAAGGUCAAUUUUCCGAAAAACAAGGCAACUUUGAGCUUGAAUACGUGAUUAAGGGCAACCCUGAGAAUGAGAAAUCCCACGGCGCUUCAUUAAGAGUGGGAGGCACGGGUACAAGUGGAAAUCACGUAGAGAAGGGGUACCCGCCGAAGGAAAAACUUAUACUGGAAGACGACUCCGUGCACACGACUCAUAUCCAAAUGCACGAGUCGCAAGGGGCGUGUAUACGUAUUGGGACUUACCGACUCGAAAUAGCCGCCCCGGGUGUUGGGACAUUCCACCAACAAUCGUAGUUUCACCUUCACUUCAUGUUAGGGACUGAGAACGCAUCUCCGUUUUCAUUCCCAGUCUCCACUGAAAGAACGACAUAGAACGAAAACGUUCUUACGAGAACGUUCUCCAGAGAACGAAAGUCGGGAAUGAAAUAUCGAGAACUAUCUCGCAAAGAGCGAAAGUGAGAUCGAGAACGUUAUUUCGAAAAACAAAAAUAAGAAUGAAUUUUGAGGGUUCUCAACUGCCGUUAGGACCUCGUCGUGCUGUUACUGAAGGGAUAUACUGUGAGAGCUCGAGGUCAUUCGGAAACGACAACUCUACUAAAACUCAUACCUCCGAUACUAUUGUUACAGACUUAUCAAUUACAAAGGGACUGCCAAUCAAAAACUUCUCCCCGAUAGAGACAUUAUAUCCCCUUUUCUAUUUAAUCCGAGGGUGAUUUAUAUGGCUCAUUUCAGUUUGUUGAUUAAUACCGUAUUAAGGGUAUUGUGGCGGGGUCAAGGGGAAUUUAAAAAAAGCAGAGAAUUGAAUGAACAUUUUUGAACAUAUUAUUUAAUCUCUUUAAGGACCGUGUGCAAAAUUUCAAGAAUCCCAUGUACACAAUAAUAUUGGGAAUAAUUUCUAAAGUUGCUACUUAUACGCGCUGUUGGAUGGGGCAUCGAUAAUUUUGGCGUUUUUCCUAUGUUAUCCAUCGAGGGAUCACAUGGGAAAGAUGCUAGAUCGAUACUCCAUUCACCACCUGUAUAAGUAGCAACUUGAGCAUUUUUUUCCAUUGUUAUUGCGUACGUGAGGUUCUUGAUAUUUUGCAUCUGGGUGUUCAAUAGAUUGAAUAUGUUAUAGUAUAUUGUGCAUCAAGGGCGGAAAGUCAUGUUUUCUUGUCAUUGUUUUCUUGUCAUGUGUUUUUUUAACACGCCUGCAAAGGAAAGUUCGUAUUUUGCUCUUUGAUGAGCGGGAGGAAAGUACGAACUUUCCGUGCAGGUGUGUGAAAAAAAAAAGUUUUUCACUAAAAGUUGAAUAUCUUCUAAACCACUUGGUCGAUUUUACGUACUCACGAACUCAUUCUGUUGUGACGACACGGGUCGUCAACCCGUAAUUUAUUUUUUAUUUGUAAAAUUUGUUUAUUUUCAUUUUUAAAUGAAAAUCAAGACCUUCUAAGGCAAAAUUGUGAAAAAUUAGCCUCUAGGAGACUUCUCUCGUCCAUGAGAAUCGGGAAAGGAAAUACUUUAAACCUUUUCCAAUUCUAAUACCAUUUGUCAUCUCCGACGGUCAUAACUCCACGACAACAGGUUGAGUCGAGAAGAGGAGGUCCUGAGAAAAAUCUCUUGGGACCAAACAACAUCCAGACCUUCCCGUUCAGGCUAUUGGAAACGAGGAUUGGAUGAUGGCGUCCCUCUACGAAGCCCGUGCUUUUCAAAUGUGAGCAGAUGUCUUCAACUGAGGAUCCAUUGCCAUCAACCACCGAACAACUAUGGUCUAGGGUAGCCUGACGCGAGAAACGACGAGAGGGGGAAGCUUCCCCUUGUCUGAUGAGCAAAACCUACAGGAAGUCAGCGAGGGAUACUCGAAUGUGAAUAAUAUUCCAACGUUGGGGAUAAUUUACGACAUUUAAUCUAAAAUAAUUUUAAAAUAUCGAAAAUAUUGAUUUAUAUCCAUUUUGCAGUUUUUGAGAAAUAAUUUUCAUGUAAAUUAGUUGCGUAAAAUAUUCUAGCGUUUAAUACUUCUGUUAGAACUUCGAUAUCCAAUCAAAUUCCGUGUCUUAUGAAUUUGAGGGGAGGUUCCUCCCCCAAAACAAGAUCAAGCAGGCAUAUCGGUUGAACCGGGCCAAGCUUGAGGAGAGCCGUCUCCUAGCCAGCGCAAGAUGUAGUCCAUUAGUUCUGAUUAAUUUUGGUGUGAAAUUAAAAUGUGAUAAAUUGAAUUCAUUGUAUUUCGAGGUGACGUAUCGACCCUCAACUGAAUAUCGAUCCAUAUUAUGGAUAUUUUAUCAUAAUUUUGAGAAUAAUGAGAAAUUAUAACCCUUAUUCACUUUUCUCGUAAAUUUCAUAAUAUUUCUUUGUGUGAAAUUAUAUUUGAUUAUUCUUGUUAAA